This 210-nucleotide ribosomal RNA is filed under the name uncultured bacterium. Its description in RNAcentral is "partial 16S ribosomal RNA". It matches the Rfam family "Bacterial small subunit ribosomal RNA", at positions 568 to 774 of the family's 1533-position model. The record is from RNAcentral.
AGCGCAGGUGGUUUCUUAAGUCUGAUGUAAAAGGCAGUGGCUCAACCAUUGUGUGCAUUAGAAACUGGGAGACUUGAGUGCAGGAGAGGAGAGUGGAAUUCCAUGUGUAGCGGUGAAAUGCGUAGAUAUAUGGAGGAACACCGGAGGCGAAAGCGGCUCUCUGGCCUGUAACUGACACUGAGGCUCGAAAAGCGAAUGGGUAAGCAAACA